This 1345-nucleotide long non-coding RNA is filed under the name Chelonoidis abingdonii (Abingdon island giant tortoise). RNAcentral's name for it is "lncRNA (ENSCABG00000009146.1)". Lineage: Eukaryota; Metazoa; Chordata; Testudines; Testudinidae. The record is from RNAcentral.
AACCCCCCGCCAAGAUCUGGGGUAGAGCUGAUGGUCCCGUCCACGCCCGAGACCUUCUCGUCGGCCAGGGACCUCAUUGCCUUAACGGAGCCUGUGCUGCCCCAACCCCCGGCACCACCGGUGCGGGUUUUACAAUCAAAGGGCAAACCUACACCGAUGCGAGCACCGUCCCCGGAUUCUCCGGCUCGGCACCGGUCAAGAUCCCGGCACCGAUCUCGAUCCCGAGGGAGGUCUCGCUCACGGCGCCGCUCGCAGUCCCGGCACCGCUCUCCACGGCGGCACUGGUCAUACUUGCAGCGAAGGUCGUCCUCGCGCCGGUCCCGAUACUCCUGGCACCGUUCCGGCUCCAGCCACCGUUACCGGCACCGGGACUCGAGGACUCAUUCCCGCCAUCGAUGGUCCAGAUCCCGGUCGACCUCCCGGCACCGAGCUGGUGGCAGGUCCCAGUCUCGAUCGCGGCGCCGAUAUGGCUCGCGGCACCGAUCUCCGGCACCGAGGAGGUCUUCGCCGUCUGCAACGCGGGACCCGUUCCACUCCCACUCGGCUCCACCAUGGCCCUCUCGCCAAGGCUCUGUCUCUUCGCGGGCGGACAGUAUGUACCUGGAACCUGAAGGACCCGCUACCCUCUUUCCCGAGAGACAGCAGGAGCAUGGUCCGCAGCAGUGGGGCUUCUGGACCCCCUGGGCGUAUCAUCAAGCCCAGGGCCCGCAGCAAAUUCCCCCACGAUCGUCUGUCUCAGAGCACAGGGCUCCGGAGGCUACUGCUUCACGCCCUCCUCCAUCCCCUACGGAAGAGCGGUCGUCCCAUCCUCCGGAUGCUGAAUGCCCGCAGGAGUCAGAAGCAGUGCUCCAGUCAGAGCCGCCACCAGACCCGCUCCUGCCAGGUCUCUCCUCGUCCUCCUCCCCAGAUGAGGUGGUGGCGGGGAUGACAUCCACCAGUCCCCCCCCGCUGGACCUCAGGGCGCACCAGGAUCUGCUCAGGCGCGUAGCACAAAAUAUGAACAUCCAGGCUGAGGAGGUCUCAGAGAUCGAGGACCCGGUCGUGAGCAUACUCUCGGUGGAUGCGCCCAGUCGUGUCGCCCUGCCCUUCAUAAGGACUAUCCAAGCCAAUGCCACCACCAUCUGGCAGUCACUGGCUUCCGUUCCCCCCACUGCUCGUGGGGUGGAGCGUAAAUACAUGGUCCCUUCGAAGGGCUAUGAGUAUUUAUAUGUCCACCCGCCCCCCUGUUCCCUCGUCGUUCAAUCUGUGAAUGAGAGGGAACGCCAUGGACAAGAAGCUCCGGCCCCCAAGUCUAAGGAGGCGAGACGUAUGGACCUGCUUGGCCGCAAGGUCUAUUCCGCAGGAG